AACGAACGCUGGCGGCGCGUCUUAAGCAUGCAAGUCGGACGGCAAGGGUAGCAAUACCCCUAGAGUGGCGGACUGGUGAGUAACGCGUGGGUGACCUGCCCUUGAGUUGGGGAUAGCCAUUAGAAAUAGUGGAUAAUACCGAAUACGAUCGCUGUCACUGUGGUGAUGCGAUGAAAGGAGCUACGGCUCCACUCGAGGAUGGGCCCGCGUCCCAUUAGCUAGUUGGUGAGGUAACGGCCCACCAAGGCGACGAUGGGUAUCCGGCCUGAGAGGGUGUACGGACACAUUGGGACUGAGAUACGGCCCAAACUCCUACGGGAGGCAGCAGCUAAGAAUAUUCCGCAAUGGACGAAAGUCUGACGGAGCGACGCCGCGUGGAUGAAGAAGGCCGAAAGGUUGUAAAAUCCUUUUGCUGAUGAAGAAUAAGUGGAGUAGGGAAUGAUUCCAUGAUGACAUUAGUCGGUGAAUAAGCCCCGGCUAACUACGUGCCAGCAGCCGCGGUAACACGUAGGGGGCAAGCGUUGUUCGGAAUUAUUGGGCGUAAAGGGCAUGUAGGCGGUUUUGUAAGCCUGGUGUGAAAUCCUGCAGCUUAACUGUAGAAUUGCAUUGGGUACUGCAAGACUUGAAUCACAGAGGGGAAACUAGAAUUCCAGGUGUAGGGGUGGAAUCUGUAGAUAUCUGGAAGAAUACCGGUGGCGAAGGCGGGUUUCUAGCUGAUGAUUGACGCUGAGGUGCGAAAGUGCGGGGAGCAAACAGGAUUAGAUACCCUGGUAGUCCGCACCGUAGACGAUGUACACUAGGUGUCGGGGCAUGAGUCUCGGUGCCAAAGCUAACGUGUUAAGUGUACCGCCUGGGAAGUAUGCUCGCAAGGGUG
Molecule: ribosomal RNA, 874 nt
Filed under: uncultured bacterium
Lineage: Bacteria
Description: bacterial SSU rRNA
Rfam family: Bacterial small subunit ribosomal RNA
Source: RNAcentral